GCUUGCUUUCUUUGCUGGCGACCGGCGCACGGGUGAGUAACACGUAUCCAACCUACCCUUUACUCGGGGAUAGCCUUUCGAAAGAAAGAUUAAUACCCGAUAGCAUAAUGAUUCCGCAUGGUUUCAUUAUUAAAGGAUUCCGGUAAAGGAUGGGGAUGCGUUCCAUUAGGUUGUUGGCGGGGUAACGGCCCACCAAGCCUUCGAUGGAUAGGGGUUCUGAGAGGAAGGUCCCCCACAUUGGAACUGAGACACGGUCCAAACUCCUACGAGGCAGCAUG
RNAcentral lists this ribosomal RNA (278 nucleotides) under uncultured bacterium. RNAcentral's name for it is "partial 16S ribosomal RNA". It matches the Rfam family "Bacterial small subunit ribosomal RNA", at positions 78 to 353 of the family's 1533-position model. The record is from RNAcentral.